Molecule: ribosomal RNA, 440 nt
Filed under: uncultured bacterium
Lineage: Bacteria
Description: partial 16S ribosomal RNA
Rfam family: Bacterial small subunit ribosomal RNA
Source: RNAcentral
CCUACGGGUGGCAGCAGUAGGGAAUAUUGCUCAAUGGGGGAAACCCUGAAGCAGCAACGCCGCGUGGAGGAUGAAGGUUUUCGGAUUGUAAACUCCUUUUGUUAGAGAAGAUAAUGACGGUAUCUAACGAAUAAGCACCGGCUAACUCCGUGCCAGCAGCCGCGGUAAUACGGAGGGUGCAAGCGUUACUCGGAAUCACUGGGCGUAAAGAGGGCGUAGGCGGGAUAGCAAGUCAGAUGUGAAAUCCUAUGGCUUAACCAUAGAACUGCAUUUGAAACUGUUAUUCUAGAGUAUGGGAGAGGUAAGUGGAAUUCUUGGUGUAGGGGUAAAAUCCGUAGAGAUCAAGAGGAAUACUCAUUGCGAAGGCGACCUACUGGAACAUAACUGACGCUGAUGCGCGAAAGCGUGGGGAGCAAACAGGAUUAGAUACCCUUGUAGUC